RNAcentral lists this long non-coding RNA (3527 nucleotides) under Malus domestica (apple). RNAcentral's name for it is "long non-coding RNA (MDOM_LNC014074)". Lineage: Eukaryota; Viridiplantae; Streptophyta; Magnoliopsida; Rosales; Rosaceae. The record is from RNAcentral.
AUUCUUAAUCUUCAGAUGAAUCCAAAUUGUCAAAUUUGAUGGGCCUAGGCUCCAAAUAGGAGGCUAUUGUAGUGUCUAAGGUGUCAAAGUUGCGCUAAACUCUGAUCUUGCAUGAAAUGGUAUGACUGACACUCCGGCCACCAUGUUGUUCCGCUUGCGAGUUUGAAUUAGCAGUGUCGCCGGGGUAAAAAUGGGCAUUGUUACAAUCAACUGUCCAUCAAGGGUGAUGGGAUUCAAGCUUCCAAAACCGAAGAUAGGGACUUAGGUUUGUAGAGUAGUUCUGCGAGUAUUCUCUAGAGAUGGUGGGGCACGUGUAGAUUAUCAUAAACAACAUCUUAAGUUAUGCCCUAGACUCUACCUUAUUUAAAGAAAGCAAAAUUAGAGGACUAGCCAGGAGAUUGGGAAGGACCAAAUAGUUGGCAAGCUCUUAUUUUUGGAGAAACUUUGUGGCCUUUAUGUGCUUUUCGAAGUUGACAAAGUUUGAACUAUUCUCAGCCGGAGAAGUUGAAAACCGUUGACAGAAGUAGUGAUCCUCAACAAGGUUUCCCAUAUCUAGUCUCUGGUGUGGAGAACUUCACCAAUAGGAGCGUCACUAUUACCCGAAGCGAUAGAGGCGUUUAGGAGUAAGGUUUCCUAUAUCUAGUCUCUGGUGUGGAGAACUUCACCAAUAAGAGCGUCACUAUUACCUGGAGCGAUAGAGGCAUUUGGGAGUUGAUUGCUUCCACCCUAAGUGUUGGUGUCAGCGUUCACAGAGUUGUCUUCAGUAGACAUGGUGUAGUAGAAUGAUUUGGUAGAAGGACUAUGAGUUCACAUCUCAAUGAAAAACACCAAUUAUUGGAACCAAAUUUGCGCAUUGGUGGGAUACCAGUCAAACGCUCUCCAAAGGUUAAGUUAGUCAACAAUAUUGAGACUCAAGCAGUGAGCAAGAAUAACUAUGUGUUACAGGAUUGUUACCAGAGUUAAGCCCUAAACAAGGGUAUUUAUACUAGUCGAGAGAAAGACCUUUUAGAAUAUGGAAUCAAUAUUAAACUGGAGAAUCCAAUAGGAUAUCUGGGCUUAUAUAUUGUUUCCUCUUAGGUGUGUGAUUACUUACGUUGCACGCCAAUCCCUAGAUUGUAGGAAUCUUCAAGAAUAUAGGAAAUUCAUUUGACCCUAGCUGAAUCAUGUUUUCGUAUCUUCUAAUAAGAAUGGUCAAGCUUAGUAAAGUCAACGGACUUUGCCUACCUUUCCGGAGCACAGUAAGAUGUGGUGGCAUCGUGGUCUGCUUAAGCAACUCACAUCGAUCAGAGUUGUUGAGUCAGUGACCAAACUUUUGAGGUAACGAUCCUCCUUACUCCGACCCUGGAAAAUCAUGGUCCCACACUCGGCCUUAAAAAGUUUUUAAAAAUCCUUCAUCAAUACUUAUGCUUUCACUAAAGUAGUGAUUCAUAUAACUAUCUGAUUAAGUUAAAGUGAUAUGAUCAUGAUUAAUUGUAAAUGGAGAGACUAAGAGCAUCUCUAAUGCCUAUCCUCAAAGCUAUCAUCACUACCUUACAUAGUUUAUAAAUGAGGAAUAAGGCCCUACAAUGCACCUGAAAUUAAGCUCUUAAAGUAUAAGGACUCAUCGGAUACAAAAGGCAAGUCCUUACAUAUAGGGACAACAUCUAGACGGAUUUGGUGGAGCUCAAUGGGCAUUUUGAGCAAAAAACUCGGCCCACCUAUGUGCUUGCUGCUUUGCAAUUGUUACAUUACUCCAUCCACACGUAGAAUGCUGCAUUAUUGGCCAAACAAAUGUUGACGUAACUGCAGUCAUGGGUCUCACAGCACAUGCUACUUUAUUAUAUAUUUAUGCUGAUGUGCUUCAUUCAACAAUAUAGAUGUACUAUGGUGUUUUUUUCACAUUUUUAUUAUUGAAGAUCAACUAUUUAAAUUAAACUUUGAAAGUUACCAUUAGAAUUCAAUGGUGGAGCUUCAUCCCACCAACUUUAGUAAGGAAAAAUUUUUGGUGUCGAAAAUUGAAUUAUUUUUUGGAAACCUUCAUGAAAAGGUCUUGGGCUAAGUUUAUUUUAACCAAAAAUCAUACUAUAACUUUAUUUAAUGAAAAACAAUUAAAAUUAAUGAAAAACCCUUAAAUUUUAAUUAAAAAAAAAAGACAAAAGAACUUAAAUUUUAAUGAAAAUGACACAAUUUUAAUAUAAAAACAAAAUUUUAAAAAAAUACCUAACGCGCAGGACCCUGUGCAUCCAUCACAUUCACUGUUUAUGAAACUGAACACUAUUUUGAAACAUUGAACACUAUUUAUGAAACUAAACACUAUUUAUGAAAAUGACAAUAUACUAUUUAUUGGUCCAGUUUCAUAAAUAGUGCCUAGUUCUUGGUCCACUUUCUUAAAAAAUGCCUAAUUCUUGGUUAUAUUUCAUAAAUUGUGCCUAGUUAUUGCUUCUAGUUUCAUAAAUAGUGUAUGGUAAUGGUACAUUUUCAUAAACAGUGUCAAUUUCUUGGUCUGGUUUCAUAAAUAGUGUCUAGUUAUUGGUCUACUUUCAUAAAUAGUGGCUAGUUCUUGAUCAUGUUUCAUAAAUAAUGUCUAGUUCUUGGUCCAAUUUCAUAAAUAGUUUAUUGUCCAGUUUCAUAAAUAGUUCCCACCUAUUGGUUUAGUUUUAGAAAUAGUGCCUAAUUAUUGGUUUUGUUUCAUAAAUAGUGUCUACUUAUUGGUCUAGUUUCAUAAAUAGUAUCCAUUUAUUGUUCCAGUUUUAUAAAGAGUGUCUACUUAUUGGUCAAAUUUUAUAAAUAGUGUCUAAUUCUUGAUUCAGUUUCAUAAGGUUUGAAACUUAGACCCUGUUUGGUCCUAUAAAAGCACCCAUUGCGCCAAAAACGAUCAACCAAGAAGUGAUCCUUUAAAUCAAAACCUUGAGAAGAUUAUGCUCUCAGUAAUUAUAUUUAAAAAUCUAUUUUCAAUUACCAAAUUAAAAUACUGGAUACUAUUUAAGUGGUGGGAAAAUUUUCCUUAUGCUCGUAACAUAAGCGGUACACCACGUAUCAUUAUGUAAGUGGUGGGAAAUUUUAUUUUUUAUGUUUUUAAUUUUUUAACACAAAAAUCUCACCACUUCUAUAGAGACACAUGAUGUACCACCCCGUGUUUGGGGCACAAUGAAAAAUCUUUCAUCUUCCUUGACUACUAUUAGGAAACAACACCACAAAAAUAAAAGGGAAUUGUUAUUAGCACUUCAAAAAUCUCAUUCUACACUCCUCACAAGUGUAUUUUUCUUUCUAAUUAUAGAAAGUUUGGAGUGCCACUCUUAAAAUCUGUAGAACUUCAGGUGUCACUCUUAAUGUUUUCGAAUUGAGCUCAACAUCACGAGCACGUAGGCGAAGGCCGUUCGUAAAUCGAGAUGAGGAAUGAGAAAUUAUGGAUGUUAGAAGUUUCUUAAAUAAAACAGGAAUUUAAUAUUUUAAGGGUUCCUAUUACUUUGGGAAAGGGACCAAUUAGAAAAGAAGAAAAUGAGAGAAGAAAAAAAUAAAGAAAUAAAUAAAGUAAAAUAAAAAAAAAA